Non-coding RNA from Paramuricea clavata, 354 nucleotides. NCBI's taxonomy places the organism in Eukaryota, Metazoa, Cnidaria, Anthozoa, Malacalcyonacea, Plexauridae. The record is from the annotation of a GenBank genome assembly.
CAUACAUGUCAUUUUGUGUAAAUUUAUUAAAUGGCGAAGUUAUAUAAAAAAAAGUUUAAAAAAAGAAAAAAAAGAAAGACCCUGGCAAUAGCUGGUCACGUGGCUCCCAGAUUCUGGGUGCUAAAUUGAAAUUGUAAUUGGGGAGAGGUGGUCGAGGAGUGCGCUUGUUUUGCUUGGAAAAUUUAUACAACUUGUGUGUUAUAGUUUCGGGCGAUAAAAUUUAAAUUUGCAACACGAAAUCCUGAAAUAUUUUGUAUUUUGGGUUACAUUAGUCAAGCGAGAAAUUGGAUGAGAUCGAUUUCAGUGGACGUCAUACCCUGGUUCCAGAGGCUCUUUGCAAGGCGAAAAUAACGA